CGCACAACUCUGUCGCCAAAAGAGGAGCUUUUGCGCCUGCGCAAGCGGCGGCGCCAGCGCUCUAAGCCCUGGAGUGCUCUCUGCGCCUGCGCCAUUUUUCCAGCGCAGGGAAGCAUAUGGAUUGAGCAUCCCAUAUCCCAUGGUGCUAUGGAAAUAAUAAUAAUUUAUAAUAUAUUAUUGUAAGUAUUAUUAAUAUAUUUUUAUGUUAUAAGGCAACACUAGACUCUCUUGUAAAGUACAUGAAGGAAUAUAAAUUGAGCAUCCCAGCAACUCCAUGUACAUGGUGCUAUGGAAAUAAUAAUAAUAAUAAUAAUUUAUAAUAAAUUAUUAUAGGUAUUAUUAAUAUAGUUUGUUAUGUUAUAAGGCAGCACUAACCUCUUUUUUCAGCACAAGAAAUAAUAUAAAUUGAGUAUCCCAGCAACUCCAUGUACAUGGUGCUAUGGAAAUAAUAAUAAUAAUAAUAAUAAUUUAUAAUAUACUAUUAUAGGUAUUAUUAAUAUAGUUUGUUAUGUUAUAAGGCAACACUAGCCUCUUUUUUAAGUACAGGAAGGAAUAUAAAUUGAUCAUCCCAGCAACGCUAUGUACAUGGUGCUAUGGAAAUAAUAAUAAUAAUUUAUAAUAUACUAUUAUAGGUAUUAUUAAUAUAUUUUGUUAUGUUAUAAGCCAACACUAGCCUCUUUUUUCAGCGCAGGAAAUAAUAUAGAUUGAACAUCCCAGCAACUACAUGUACAUGGUGCUAUGAAGAUAAUAAUAAUAAUAAUAAUGUAUAAUAUAUUAUUAUAGGUACAGUAGAGUCUCACUUAUCCAACAUAAACAGGCCGGCAGAACGUUGGAUAAGCGAAUAUGUUGGGUAAUAAGGAGGCAUUAAGGAAACGCCUAUUACACAUUAAAUUAAGUUAUGAUUUUACAAAUUAAGCACCAAAACACCAUGUUUAACAACAAAUUUGACAGAAAAAGUAGUUCAAUAUGCAGUAAUGCUAUGUAGUAAUUACUGUAUUUACGAAUUUAACACCAAAAUAUCACGAUAUAUUGAAUACAUUGACCACAAAAAUGCGUUGGAUAAUCCAGAACGUUGGAUAAGUGAGACUCUACUGUAUUAUUAAUAUAUUUUGUUACGUUAGAAGGCAACACUAGUCUCUUUUUUCAGCGCAGGAAAUAAUAUAAAUUGAGUAUCGCAGCAACUCCAUGUACAUGGUGCUAUGGGGAAAAAAAUCAUUUAUAAUACAGUAGAGUCUCACUAAUCCAAGCCUCGCUUAUCCAAGCUUCUGGAUUAUCCAAGCCAUUUUUGUAGUCAAUGUUUUCAAUAUAUCGUGAUAUUUUGGUGCUAAAUUCGUAAAUACAGUAAUUACAACAUAACAUUACUGCGUAUUGAACUACGUUUUCUGUCAAAUUUGUUGCACAACAUGAUGUUUUGGUGCUUAUUUUGUAAAAUCAUAACUUAUUUUGAUGUUUAAUAGGCUUUUCCUUAAUCUCUCCUUAUUAUCCAAGAUAUUCGCUUAUCCAAGCUUCUGCCGGCCCGUUUAGCUUGGAUAAGUGAGACUCUACUGUAUAUGUAUUAUUAAUACAUUUUGUUAUGUUAUAAGGCAACACUAGCCUCUUCUUUCAGCACAGGAAACAAUAUAAAUUGAGCAUUCCAGCAAUUACAUGUACACAGUGCUAUGGAAAUCAUAAUCAUAAUAAUAAUACUAUAAUACUUUUUGUUAUGUUGUAAGGCGUUUUAGUGCAGGAAAGGAUAUAGAUUGAACAUCCCAGCAACUACAUGUACAUGGUGCUAUGGAAAUAAUAAAAAUAAUAUAACUAUAAUAUUAAUUAAUGCAUUUUGUUAUGUUGUAAGGCUUUUCAGUGCAGGAAAGGAUAUAAAAUGAACAUCCCAGCAACUUCAUGUACACAGUGCUAUGGAAAUAAUAAUAAUAAUAACUGGGAACUCCCUGUGGUGCAACAGGUUAAACUGCUGAGCUGCUGAACAUGCUGACCGAAAGUUCGGUAGUCCGAAUCUGGGGAGUGGGGUGAGCUCCCAUUGUUAGCCCCAGCUUCUGCCAACCAAGCAGUCCGAGAACAUGCAAAUGUGAGUAAAUCCAUAGGUACUGCUCUGGCAGUCAUGCUAGCCACAUGACAUGCGGAUAACGCCCCAACCCCCAGAGUCAGACAUGACUAGAUUUAAUGUCAGGCAGAAACUUUUACCUUUACUAUAAUAAUUAUUAUUAAAUACAUUUUGUUAUGUUGUAAGGCAACAUUAGCCCUUUUUUAAAUGCAGGAAAGGAUAUGGAUUGAGCACCCCAGCAAUUACAUGUACAUGGUGCUAUGGAAAUUAUAAUAAUAAUUUAUAAUCUAUUAUUAUAAGUAUUAGUAAUUAAUACAUUUUAUGUUAUAAGGCAACAUGAGCCUCUUUUUUCAGUGCAAGUAAAAAUACACACUGCACUUCCCUAAUCCAAAAUGUUCAGGACCAGAAGUGUUUGGUUUUUCCAGAUUUUUAGGAUACGUCUGCACUGUAGAAUUAAUGCAUUUGGCACCAAUUUUAACUGUCAUUGCUCAAAGCUAUGGAAUCCUGGGAGUUGUAGUUUUACAAGGUCUUCAUAGUCUUCUCUGCCAAAGAGUGCUGAUGCCUCACCAAACUACUGCUCCCAGGUAUUCUUUGCAUUAAUCCAGGCCAGUUAAAAGUGGGAAUAAUAAUGUUUUUAUUGAGUGUCAUGUUUAAAUUUAUUGUUGUUUCUAAUUUGGAAUUGUUAUUAUAAUGAGUAUGUUAUUGUCAUUUUAUACUUUUGAUAUUAAGUGAAGUAGCUGUGGCAUUGAAUGUUUGCUGUUUAUAUGUAUGUUAACUGCCCUGAGGGAAGAGAGAGCGGUCUAGAAAUAAAGUUUUAUAUUAUUAUUAUUAUUAUUAUUAUUAUUAUUAUUAUUAUUAUUACUCAAUCAACAUAUUGUGCAGCUUAUAAAUGCUCUAACAGUACCUACCUUUGAACAGCACCAGUACUCCACUUCUGUAGUGAUUUAAACCUCUCUGGAGGUUUUUAAACAGAAGCUGGAUGGCCAUCCAAGAGUGCUUUGACUGGCUGAAUGGGGUCUCUUUCCGUGGAAUUUCUUUCUCUGCAGGUUUUUGAACUGAGGUUGGAUGGCUGUCUGUUGGGAGUACUUUGACAGUGCCUUCCUGUCUAGGUGAACGAGGUUAGACUAGAUGCCCUGUGAGGGUCCCUUCUAAUUCUGUGCUUUUCCUCCCACCGCAUGAAAAGAAAGCUUUGUUUCAGACAUGGGCAAACUUGUGCCCUUGAGGUGUUUUGGACUUCAACUCGGUAGGCUGUUAGGAAUUGUGGGUGUUGAAAUCCAAAACACCUCGAGGGCACAAGUUUGCCCAUGUCUGAUAGAUGCAUCUAAGUGACCAACUAAACACUGCUGAAUCCACUAGAAGGAAAUGUUGCAAAUCACGAGGUUCACCACUAGAGGACAUCUUUGAUCUAUAAGUUGUGUGCCUUCAAGUCUUUUCCAACUUCUGGUGACCUCAAAGGUGAUUUUAUUACAUGUGUUGCCGAAUCACUGCGUUGUUGUAAGUUUUCCAGGCUGUAUGGCCAUGUUUCAGAAGCAUUUUCUCCUGACAUUUCACCCACAUCUGAGGAUGCCUGCCAUAGAUGUGGGCGAAACAUCAGGAGAGAAUGCUUCUGGAACAUGGUCAUACAGCCCAGAUUUUAUUACAUGGUCAUACAACACAGAUUUUAUUACAGUGUUUUCUUGUACAGGAGCCCCCAAUGGCGCAGGAUAUUAAAGCACUGAGCUGCUGAACUUGCUGACCAAAAGGUCACAGGUUCGACUCAGGGGAGUGGAGUGAACACCCGCUGUUAGCUCCAACUUCUGUCAACCUAGCAGUUUGAAAACAUGCAAAUGUGGGUAGAUCAAUAGGUACCGCUCUGGCGGGAAGGUAAUGGCGCUCCAUACAGUCGUACCAGCCACAUGACCUUGGAGGUGUCUACAGACAACACCGGCUCUUCAGUUUAGAAAUGGAGAUGAGCACCAACCCCCAGAUUCAGACAUGACUGGACUUCAUGUCAGGAGAAACCUUUACCUUUUACCUUUCUUGUUAAGGUUUAUUCCGAGGAGGUUUGCCAUCGCUUUCCUCUGGGGCUAAGAGAGUGUGACUCUCCAGGUGGGUUUCCAUGUCCCAAGCAAGUACAGUAGAGUCUCACUUAUCCAACACUCACUUAUCCAACGUUCUGGAUUAUCCAAUGCAUUUUUGUAGUCAAUGUUUUCAAUACAUCGUGAUAUUUUGGUACUAAAUUUGUAAAUACAGUAAUUACUACAUAGCAUUACUGCGUAUUGAACUAGUUUUUCUGUUAAAUUUGUUGUAUAACAUGAUGUUUUGGUGCUUAAUUUGUAAAAUCAUAACCUAAUUUGAUGUUUAAUAGGCUUUCCCUUAAUCCCUCCUUAUUAUCCAACAUAUUCACUUAUCCAACAUUUUGCCAGCCCGUUUAUGUUGGAUAAGUGAGACUCUACUGUAUUUGAAUUUUUAAAAACUGUUAAAUGAUUUCAUAUUGUUUUAGUUUGAACUACUUUUUUAUAUUUGUUGUUGAAUUGGCUUCGUUUGUAUGCAGCCCCAAAAUGCUAGAAUGUACAACUAGGUAUAAAUAUUUUAAUAGUAUUUUUAAAUAUUUUAAUAAAUAAGAAAAUGCUUCUGUUAGGAAUGCUGGAAGGAGAGUGGUCAGAAGGAAAACUCUUCAUUUCUGCCCAGAAAGGAAAGAAAAUUGUUGGGAAGAGAUGAUGGGUGAAUCUGCAUGGUAGAAUUAAUGCAGUUUGAUAUUGGGUUGUUGUAUGUUUUCCAGGCUGUAUGGCCAUGUUCCAGAAGUAUUCUCUCCUGAUGUUUCGUCCACAUCUAUGGCAGGCAUCCUGUGAGGUUGUGAGGAUGUCUGCCAUAGAUGUGGGUGAAACGUCAGGAGAGAAUACUUCUGGAACAUGGCCAUACAGCCCGGAAAACAUACAACAACCCUGUGAUCCCGGCCAUGAAAGCCUUCAACAACACUGUUUGAUACUGCUUUAAAUGUUAAGGCUCAUUGCUAUAAAAGCAUGAAGUUUGUAAUUUUACAAGGUGUUUAGCCUUCUCUGCCAAAGAGUUUUGGUGCCCCUCUGAACUGCAAAUCUCAGGAAUCCGUGGUAUUGAGCAAUGGCAGAUAAAGUAGUGUUAAACUGCAUUAAUUCUACAGUGUAGAUGCACCCUGUUUUUGCUUGUGCAUGUAGGUGCAUAUGUGCAUGAAGUCCCCAAUGCAGCACGUACCAGCAACCCUCAAGGUCAAAAAAGUUACGCACCUCUUGCCCUGAACUCCCAGAAUAAAAGUUCAGGCCUAUCAAUCUCCAACAGAACAAACAAUACAAAUUCCUUACAGGUUGGCAAAUAAAUCUUAAUGCAGUUGUCAAAGCGAGUUCAAAAUACAACUGUGAGCCUUUUAUGUCAAUUCUGACUUAUGGAAGCCCUAAUUGCAGGGGUUUCUUGGCAAAAUUUAUUCUAAGCCUUUAUAGGGAGCUUAGAGAAUGUAAGUUUCGUGGCCAUGCAGGGAUUCGAACCUUGGUCUCCAAGGAUGCAGCCACAUACUAGAAUUAAUGUAAAGUAAUUUCAUAUCACAGUUAAAACAGAUAAAUACAGUAGAGUCUCACUUAUCCAACGUUCUGGAUUAUCCAAUGCAGUCUGCCUUUUAGUACUCAAUGUUUUUGUAGUCAAUGUUUUCAAUGCAUUGCAAUAUUUUGGUGCUAAAUUCGUAAAUACAGUAAUUGCUACAUAAUGUUACCGUGCAUUGAACUGCUUUUUCUGUCGAUUUGUUGUAAAACAUGAUGUUUUGGUGCUUAGUCUGUAUAAUCAUAUAUCGUAAUUUGAUGUUUAAUAGGCUUUUCCUUAUUCCUUCCUUAUUAUCCAACAUUUUCGCUUAUCCAACGUUCUGCCGGCCCAUUUAUGUUGGAUAAGCAAGACUCUACUGUACACUUAAAGCAUAUUGUAACAUGGUGAUUGGGCCUGGGCUGUGGCGCAGGCGGGAGAGCAAGCCAGCUGCAAUUAACUGCAAUGAAUCACUCUGACCAGGAGGUCAUGAGUUCGCGGCCGCUCGGAGCCUAUGUUUGUCUGUCUUUGUUCUAUGUUAAAAGGCAUUGAAUGUUUGCCUAUAUGUGUAAUGUGAUCCGCCCUGAGUCCCCUUCGGGGUGAGAAGGGCGGAAUAUAAAUGCUGUAAAUAAACAAACAAACAAACAAACAAAAUCAGAAGCCUUGUGAUGCAUCUGCACUAUAGAAUUAAUGCAGUUUGAACCACUUUAAUUGGCAUGGCACAAUGCUAUGGAAUCCUGGGAUUUGUAAUUCGCUGAGGUACCAGUGCUUUUGGGCAAAGAAUACUAAAGACCUUAUAAUAUUUCAGCUGCUCUGAUUCCACAACAUUAAGUCAUGUUAGGCCUUAGACCAGGCAUGGUAAACUUCAGCCCUCCAGGUGUUUUGGACUUCAACUCCCACCAUUCCUAACAGCCGGUAGGCUGUUAGGAAUGGUGGGAGUUGAAGUCCAAAACACCUGGAGGGCUGAAGUUUGCCCAUGCCUACCUUAAACUGUUGCUGGAUCUUGUGGAAGCCAGUCAUCUAGAAAAGAGAUUCCACCUAAACCUUAGAAAGAACUUCCUGGUCUCAGAGCUGUUUGGCAGUGGAAUAUGCUGCUUGGGAGUCUGGUAGAGUCUCCUUCUCUGAAAGUUUUUAAGCAGAGGUUAGAUGACCACUGGUCAAGAGUGCUUGAUUGUGUCUUCCUCCAUGGCAAAGUGUUAGACUGGAUGACCUUGGGAUUUCUUCCAAGUCUAUGAUUAUUUGUUUCUACUGGAGCUUUUUCCUGGAUCCAGUGAGGCACUGGGGAUUCUUCACCAGGAAGGUUCACAAGUGAUAUGACUUACAAACUCUGCCCCAUGCCGUGAACCUCUUUCGCCCAUUCCCCUCCCUCGGUUCUAGCUUUUCCAUAUGUUCAUGAUGUUAUUGUGGCAGCAGAUGUUGUGUGCCUUCAAGUUGACUUAUGGAGACGCUUUCUGGGGCUGAGAAUGCCCUCCAAAGUCACCCAGAAUGGCCAGAUGGAGACAGAUCAAGAAUAGGUCUCUUCAGCCACCUAAGAACCCACCCUCAAGACCCCACAACUGGAAGACCAUCAUCCUCAAACUACGAGGGAUCACCUAAGAAAGUAAGUAAGUAAAGUCCAACACUCAAACCACUCUAACAUUUGUCAUACUUUCCAGUAUUUAGAAUAACAGAAGCCUAGAGUUGGAAGAGAUCAUAAAGGCCGUUUAGUCCAACCCUCUUCUGCCAGGCAGGAACACCGAAUCAAAACACUCCAAGCAGAUGGCCAUCCAGCCUCUGCUUAAAAACUUUCAGAGAAGGAAACUCCACUAGACUCCAUAAAACAUCCUAUUCCGCCACUGAACAGCUCUUACCAUCUAGAAGUUCUUAUUAAUGUUUAGGUGGAUUCUCUUUUCUUGUCAUUGGAAUCCAUUGCUCCAUUGUGUUUUAGUCUCCAGAGCAGCAGAAAACAAGUGUGGCCCUUCCUCAAUGGGACACCCUUUCAGAUAUUUAAACAUGGCUAUCAGGGCUCCUCUCAGCCUUCUUUUCUCCAAGGUAAACAUAUUCAGCUCCCUUCAUGGAGAAGAAUUACAGGCAAAAAAUGAGACACGUGUGACCCAACAUCAGAGUACAGACAAGAAAACAAAUGCAGUUCUAUGGUCAGCUUCCCAAAGAUGUUUCAGUCAUUUACCAUAUAUACUCAAGUAUAAGCCAACCUAAAUAUAAGCCGAGGCACCUAAUUUUACCACAAAAAAACUGGGAAAAUAUUGACUCCAGUAUAAGCCGAGAUACCAAUAAAAUUACAUUAAUUGAGGCAUCAGUGGUUUAAAUGUUUUAUUUAUUUAUUUCUCACAUUUAUAUCCCGCCCUUAUCACCCGAAGGGACUCAGGGCGGCUUACAACAGUGGCAACAAUUAGAUGCCCAUACAAACCAAUAUAAAUAUAAAACCUUUUUGAACCUUUACAUCAAACUGUAAUUUAAGAUAGGAUUGUUCAACUCUGAUGAAAUCAUUAUUUUCAUCUUCUUCAAUGUAAAUGUGCUUAUGUAUCCUUUUAAUAAUCAUAGAGUGAAAUAAUAAAUGUAAUAAUAACAAUAAAUGCAGUAAAAUAAUAAAUGUAAUAAUAGAGUAAAAUAAUAAAUGUAUUAAUAAUAAUAAAAUAGAGUAAAAUAAAUGUAAAAGUAACAAUCAUAGAGUAAAAUAAUAAAUGUAAUAAUAAUAAUUAAUAGAGUAAAAUAAUAAAUGUAACAAUGCCAAUAAUAAUAGAGAAAAAUAAUAAAUAUACCAUAUAUACUUGAGUAUAAGCUGACCUGAAUAUAAGCCCACCAGAACCCUCACCCGAGUAUAAGCCGAGAAGGUUUUUUUUUUCAGUCCUAAAAAAGGGCUGAAAAACUAGACUUAUACUCGAGUAUAUACAGUAUCUAUUUUUCUUUAUUCGCUUUUUUGUGGAUUCCCUGCCCUAAUCUCAGCAAAUUUGGAGAGCUGUUUAAAGGGGGAGCCCUGAAGUCUAUUUAAAAGCAUGAUAUGUUAAUCCUCAGGGUUUCUAGGAGAGGCAAUGGGGAGACUGUAAAAGGUCUCAAAAACAGCCUUUGGGGAUUGGCCACAUGUGGCCCCACCAUGACACAUUUGGUACUAUUGACAUCCUCCAAGCAUAAGAGUUCUCAAGGCUGACUUAUCUACUUUGGCGGCCCCUCCCGCCCGGGACCCCACCUGCCUCCCUGUCCAUGGCCCACGUCUAAAGCUUCAGCCGAGGAGGUGUCAGAACAAUCACUUGAUAACAAGUCCUAUUUUUAGAGCGAGGAUACAGCCAGGGCCGUGACAAUGGGGGGAAGGGGGCUGGGUUUCCCCCCCAGUGGCCACUCGGCUGCAGAAAGGCCCAAAAGGUUUCCUCGAUGACUUGGAGGCAUACAAUGCAAGGAAAAUCGAGCCAAGAGAGACAGGGACGCUGGGAGCCAAAGAUUAUCUGCUCCUUUACCCAAUGCCGUGACCCUGGGAGAGUUGCCGGAAAGCUGCCGUCAGUGAAUGGGUGAGGCCCCUAUCGAUGCUGGAAAACAAGGUGAAACGUGGCCGGGGGACUCAGCUUUUCCACUGGGCCGCUCCAAGUCCUGCUGGGAUCGUGGGCUGCUCCCGUUUGGCCUGGCCCUAACCCUGUUUUGUUCCAUUAUCCCAAAGAUACCUUUGUUUGUGUCCCAAAAUGAAAAGUGCAGAAAGUACGCAAGGCGGGCCAGUGGGAAUAUGGCAGACCAACAUUCACCUAGCGUCCUUCUUUCCUGUCUCGUCUUUGAUUGAUCCCAAACAAGGACCCAUUGAAAAUCUGUAGAUUAAGGAGACAGUCUGCAAUCAGUGCAAUUACUAAAAGUCAACAUGGAUUUCUCAAAAACAAGUCAUGCCAGACUAAUGUUAUUUCUUUUUUCGAUAGAGUUACAAGCUUGGUAGAUGCAAGGAAUGCUGUGGAUGGAGCAUAUCUUGCUUUCAGAUAUGCUUUGACAAAGUCCCCCAUGACCUUGCAAGCAAACUAGUCAAAUGUGGUCUAGGCAGUGCUAAUAUUAGGUGGAUCUGUAGUUGUUUAAGCGACCGAACCCAAAGGGUGCUCACCAAUGGUUUUACUUCAUCCUGGAAAAAAGUGACUGGUGGAAUGCCGCAGGGUUCGGUCCUGGGCCCAGUUCUGUUCCAUAUCUUUAUUAAUGACUUGGAUUAAGAUUUAAAGGGCUAACUGAUCAAGUUUGCAGAUGACACCAAAUUAGGAGAGAGAGCUAAUACUCCAGAGGACAGGAUCAGAAUUCAAGCUGACCUUAACAGAUUAGGAAGCUGAUUGACCAAAACUAACAAAAUGAAUGUCAACAAGGACAAAUGUAAGAUACUACACUUAGGCAGAAAAAAUGAAAUGCAAAGAUACAGGAGGGUGACGCCUGGCUCGAAAACAGUCCAUGUGAGAAAGAUCUUGGAGUCUUUGAGGACAACAAGCUAAACAUGAGCCAAGAGUGUGAUGCAGCAACUAAAAAAGGCAGUGGGAUUUUGGGCUGCAUCCAAAGGAGUCUAGUGUCUAGAUUAAGGGAAGUCAAGUCUCUAUUCUGCUUUGGUUAGACCUCACCUGGAAUACUGUGUCCAAUUCUGGGCACCACAGUUCAAAAGAGAUUCUGACUCUAAGCUGGAAGACGUCCAGAGAAGGGCAACUAAAAUGAUCAAAGUCUGGAGACCAUGAAUCAGUGGAGCCAUGGGUUCAAAUGACAGGAAAGGAGAUUCCACCUGAACAUUGGGAAGAAUGUCUGUAAGAACUUUUCAGCAGUGGAACUCUCUGCCUCGGAAUUGUAAUACAAUACCAAUAAUUUUGUGCUUUAGCCAGCCAUGGUGUAAGUUGCAGUGCCAUUUAUUCUGAAUUGUAUCUGCCUAUCUGGAGACCAUUUAAUAAGACUUUUGAAUAGCAACACUCGGUCUAGAGACAUACUUACAAACCAAUGCCUAGCCAUUUCCUGAUUUGAAGUUGGUUUUCAAAUGCUUUUGAGUUUGACUUUCUACCAUUCACCUUAUUCUUGUUCCUCUCCUUCACUAUCUUCUUUCUCCUUCCCCCUUUUCUUCUGCUCCUCCUUCUUCUUAUCCCCCUUUUUCUUCUACUCUUCCGUCUUUCCUCCUCUCCUCCUAUAUCUCUUCUAUCUCCUUCUUCUUUCCUCCUUCUCUUCUUCUUCUUUGCUACCUCCUCCUCUUCCUCAACUUCUUCUUUUCCCCUUCUCUGUUUCCUUCUCUACUUCCUUCUCGAGCUCCCUCCCUCUUUCUUUACCGAUUAAACUCUCUGAACUGAGUCAUAGUGUAUGAUGCAUACAGAUAUCUACUUUCAGGUUGUUAUGUAACAUAUUCAAGGCAAAUUCUGCAUUGCUUGAAAAGAAAACACAGAUUUGCAUAAUAUUUCCAUGUGCUAAUUUAUUAGGUGAUAAUACAAAUUUAGAAAGAACUGAUACGUGUUAAAUAGAAUUCAUUCUCAUUCUGGGAAAGACUGUGAGCAAGAAACCAGCUUGCCUGCUAGUCCACCAACUGGCUGCCUGAGUGGCCAUCAUGGAAAACUCUCGUCUCCUCCCUUAGGCCCCUUCUUCUACACUGCUCCUAUAUCCCAGGAUCUGAUCCCAAAUUAUCUGCUAAUCCCAGAUUAUAUGACAGCGGAGACUCAUAUAAUCCAGUUCAAAGUAGAUACUCUGAGAUCCUGGGAUAUAGGGCAGUGUAGAUCCAGCCUUAGAGAGGAGCUUGGAGUUUCCAUGACACUACAGCAGUGAAACUGAGCCAAAUUUCAAUCUGCACUUUGAAGGAGCUAUCCAAGGUACUGAACCCAAUCUUCAAAAUAGACUCAGGACCAGGGAGAUCUCCUUUCUUAUAUGGUUGGCUUAGUAAUAUUUCAAUUCUUUUUAAAGGAAGAGAUAAUCCUAACUGAUUUAAAUACAGUUGACCCUCCACUUUUGUGGGUUUCCUACUCAUGGCUUGGAUUAUUCAUGUGUUUGAAACACUCCUCCUAAAGUCCAGGAGCUGAAUAACAAGGCUGUAAGUCUCUAAUCUGGUCAAUAUUUGCUUCCUGGGUGAAAAAAGACCCAUAACAUGUAGGUAAGAAGAGGAACCAGCCACACACCACUUCAUUUCCCCUUGAAUAUGGGCUCCAAUUCCUCUUCCUAUGUUCCAUGAAUCUCUGUUCUGUCCAGACAAAGGAAGAGGUGUUUUGAGGAUGGGCAGAUAGGAAUCCACGGCACACAAGAAAGAAGGGGUAUUAGAACUGCCAAGUAAGUGAUGUUGCAGACAUAUGUGAAGCUGGCUCCUCCUCCUCUUCCAAUUUACCAUGUAUCUCUGGUCUCUCAAUUCCUUCCUUCCUUUGCCCAGUAGAAACACAGACUCACCUCACAUAGGAACAGGAAAAGGAGGCAGAAUUCUCAAAGUAAGUGAAGUGGUGGAGAGGUUGGCUCUGCUUCCCUUCCAAGGACUAUAGCAGUGGUGACUCCUAUCCCAACAGAGAUAUGAUGAUGAUGAUCAUGAUGAUGAUGAUGAUGAUGAUGGUGGUGCAUUUUUUUAUAUUUACACACAGGAGCUAUACUCCCGAGUCCCACAGAAGUGGAGGGACUGUCGCACCUCAGGAGGAAAGGAAAUGGAUCUGUUGAAGUUACAGUUCUUAAAACUCCUCAGCGGCAUCCUUUGUUCAGGAAAACUUUCAGGAGACUUGGCACCACCGACGUUUUUCCUGAAAGUGGUAGGAAAGAGAGACAUUUCUUAGCUGCUUCUGCAAUAAUCCAGUAUACAUAGAUGUCAGCAAAUAGCACAAUUCAUGUGCUUUAGUGGAUUGAGCAUUGGGCAUGGUUUGAAUACUUGCUGGGUCAUGAACAUGCGCUGAGUGAUCAUGAGCAAGUCACACUCUCUCAGUUUCAGGGGAAGGCAAUGGCAACCUCUUCUGAACAAAUCUUGUCUAGAAAACCUUGUCACUGUUUCAAGUCAGAUACAGUUUGAAGACACUCAAAAAUAGCAGAAAGCAUGUUCCAAGAAACUCUAGGGCAGUGGUUCUCGACCUGUGGAUCCCCAGGUAUUUUGGCCUACAACUCCCAGAAAUCCCAGCCAGUUAGCCAGUUAUGAUUUCUGGGUGUUGAAGGCCAAAACAUCUGGGAACGCACAGGUUGAGAACCACUACUCUAGGGACAUUCAAGGUGGCCUAGAAAGAUUCCCCUAGGUAUGAAGGCUUUGAAGCUGCAAGGCUAUUCAAUGGUAUUCAAGUUGUGUAACAAUGGAAUCCCCUAGGUAUGAAGUAGCCAGGCUUUGAAGCUACAAGGCUAUUCAAUGGUAUUCAAGUUGGCCAACAAUGGAGUCCCCUAGGUAUGAAUCAGCCAGGGUUUGAAGCUGCAAGGCUAUUCAAUGGUAUUCAAGUUGUGUAACAAUGGAAUCCCCUAGGUAUGAAGUAGCCAGGCUUUGAAGCUACAAGGCUAUUCAAUGGUAUUCAAGUUGCCCAUAAAAUCCCACACUAUCUGGUUUGAACUGGUAAAAAACCUAAAGGCACCAGAUCUCAAUUCACCUUGGAAGCUAAGAAGGGCCAGCCAUGGUUGGUACUUGGAUGAGAGGCUACCAACAAAUGUUGGCUGCUAUAGGAUCUAUUUCAGAGAAAGAAAAAUCCUACAAUGGGUGUCAAGCUCAUUUUCGCCAAAGACGACAUCAGUCUUAUGGUUGACUUCAAGGGGUUGUUUGUAAUUGUAAAACUGUAUAAAUAUAACUAUGACCUUGCUCCUCCUGUUGGAUAGAAAUGCCUGAGCAUUUAAUCCAUGUGUAAAACAUAGUUCUGAUGGAUAUGUGACCGACACCUGGGAAGGACUGAGAGGGUAUGAUGAAAUACAAUGGAUUUAAGAAAUGGAUGAGUCAUGAUUAUGCGAGAUGUAUGACUAGAGUUUGCAUCAUUCAUUUGUUCCUUACUGAUGACAAGUCACCAAGUGGCUAUAAAAGGAGAGUGGAAUGCUGACUCUCUUCUUAAUUUGUGAUCUCUUCAUAUGCUCUCUUUGUGUGAUCUGUACCUGUGACUAUCUUGCUUUAUGUCACUGCUGAAUGAAUCUUAUUGUGUAAGUAACAAGCAUGAUUUGUGCGUAGAUAUAUCCUGAAUUGUACAGCUGUAAAUAGUGGAAGGUUAAAGCCUGUUGUUUUGGAUGAACUACAGAAUCUGUGAGUUUAUUAAACAGUGUGCAGGAAGAAGGUCAGAAGUAGCAACUGUACUCUGUUGAAAAGCUGAUUAUCUCUACUCUGCUGUGAAUGUACUCUGCUAUCUUUGCUUUCUACUGUGGCAUUUGUUUUCCCAGUAUACAGCGUUUCAGGGAGCUCAUAAUUUGAAAGCUAUAAGUCACGUACCAGCAUCCUAUGACAUUCCCUCCUCCCCAUGAAAUGCUACAGGUAGUGAAGGGACCAUAAGCCAGAUAAUAGUAAACUUUUGCCUAUGUAGCUUUGCCUCUACAUAUGCCCCUCCCUUCCCGUGAGCUGGUGCCUUUCUCUAAAGAGAGAAGAAAGCCCAGAGUAAACAAGUGAGGUCACAGGUAUCAUUUAUGCCAAGUAGGUGUGGAAGGUGAGGAAGACCCUCAGCCACUGGUCAAUUUUAGAUAAGCCAAAGGUAUAUAUUCUUUGUUUGCUAUGCACAUAUUGCGACGGCCAUUUGCAUGGUACGACACCCACUAGAGUGGGUGCCUAUGGCUGUUUGCCUUAUCAGCUGUGAUAACAAUAAAAGGCUUGUUUUAUUGCUCUCUUGGAAUUCUCUCAUUUACUUCCCCUCCGGGCUAGUCUCUAACAGUAGAACGGGAUAAGGUGCCUUUUGGGAACUAGCUGGAGAAUUCUGGGAAUGGCAGUCCAUAGAACAGUGGUUCUCAACCUGUGGAUCCCCAGAUGUUUUGACCUCCAACUCCCAGAAAUCCUAACAGCUGGUAAACUGGCUGGGAUUUCUGGGAGUUGUAGGCCAAAACACUUGGGGACCCAGAGGUUGAGAACCACUGCUAUAGAAGAACUUUAUCCAACCCUCAGAGGAGUGCCAUUGUAUUCUCUACAAAACCACUACAAAAUUCAUGAAGUCAACUUUGAGACCCACAAACACACGAGAUAUGAUCUCAGUCUCUUCCCAAAUGCUGCUGAGUAGAACUUCUAGGGAAAGCUGUUAGGAAUUGUGGGAGUUGAAGUCCAAAACACCCGGAGAGCCGAAGUUUGCCCACGCCUGUUCUAGUUUUGCCCACGCCUGUCCAACACUAACCCUGCAGUUACUCAUAAGGUGGCCCUUUUUGCCCUGGUAGCACAGAAAAUCCGGGCAAAACUCCGACAUCGCAGUUGACUGUGCUGGGUAGUGGUUUUUUAUAUCCCUGCUUAAGUUUUAAUAAUGCUGUACUUACUUGGUUUUAUCUUGUUUUUAAUUAUGUUGGUGCUAAUCCAUGAAAUAUGUAGUAUUUGAAGGGCAUAUCCUGACAUUGAUAUUUGCAGCAUUUUAAUGUUUUAAUCUUCUAUAUAUAUAAAAGAGUGAUGGCAUCAGGGCAGCGGACAAAACAACAAAACUACAGGCCCCCCAACCUCGAAAUUUGACAACACAACCCAUCAUUCAUGGCUCUAGGUUGAUACAACAAAAAGAAAAGAAAAAUAAAGUCCUAAUUACAGGGAGAGGAAUAAUAGUUUUUAUCCAAUUGCUGCCAGUUUGAAGGCUAAGCUCUACCCACUUGGUCUCCUAGCAACCUACUCAGCCCAGGGGACAGGCACAGUUAGGCCUCACUUAGGCCUCUUCCACAGAUUAUCAGAUUUUAACUGGAUUAUAUGGCAGUGUGGACUCAAGGCCCUUCCACACAGCUAUAUAACCCAUUUAGAAUCUUAUAUUAUCUGCUUUGAACUGGAUUAUCUUGACUCCACACUGCCAUAUAAUCCACUUCAGUGUGCAUACUAAACAUAAAGACAACCAUACAACAGACAUUCAAUACCACCACUACCUUUACAAUUUCUCACCAACACCACCAGACAACGCCACAGCAACACGUGGCCGGGCACAGCUAGUGAUUUAUAUUGGGGUUUAAUGGCAUGUUUUCUAUUGUAUUUGAUGGUCUGGCUUUUGUGUAUUUGUUUGUUUGUCUUGCAUGCAAAAGACCUAUGGUCUAAGCAUUAAAUAAAUUUGGAAUUUGGAUUAA
This is a long non-coding RNA of Anolis carolinensis (green anole), 15679 nucleotides long. RefSeq lists it as uncharacterized. The transcript has 2 exons. The record is from RefSeq and is a predicted model, not a curated record. Lineage: Eukaryota; Metazoa; Chordata; Lepidosauria; Squamata; Anolidae.